This 403-nucleotide ribosomal RNA is filed under the name uncultured bacterium. RNAcentral's name for it is "bacterial SSU rRNA". It matches the Rfam family "Bacterial small subunit ribosomal RNA", at positions 356 to 773 of the family's 1533-position model. The record is from RNAcentral.
GGGGGAUAUUGCACAAUGGAGGAAACCCUGAUGCAGCAACGCCGCGUGAAGGAUGAAGGUUUUCGGAUUGUAAACUUCUUUAGUCAGGGACGAAAAAAAUGACGGUACCUGAAGAAUAAGCCACGGCUAACUACGUGCCAGCAGCCGCGGUAAUACGUAGGUGGCAAGCGUUGUCCGGAAUUACUGGGUGUAAAGGGCGUGUAGGCGGGAAUGUAAGUCAGAUGUGAAAUCCCAGGGCUUAACCCUGGAGCUGCAUCUGAAACUAUGUUUCUUGAGUGCCGGAGAGGAAAGCGGAAUUCCUAGUGUAGCGGUGAAAUGCGUAGAUAUUAGGAGGGACACCAGUGGCGAAGGCGGCUUUCUGGACGGUAACUGACGCUGAGGCGCGAAAGCAUGGGUAGCAAAC